UUAAGCGACUAAGCGUACACGGUGGAUGCCCUGGCAGUCAGAGGCGAUGAAGGACGUGCUAAUCUGCGAUAAGCGUCGGUAAGGUGAUAUGAACCGUUAUAACCGGCGAUUUCCGAAUGGGGAAACCCAGUGUGAUUCGUCACACUAUCAUUAACUGAAUCCAUAGGUUAAUGAGGCGAACCGGGGGAACUGAAACAUCUAAGUACCCCGAGGAAAAGAAAUCAACCGAGAUUCCCCCAGUAGCGGCGAGCGGACGGGGAGCAGCCCAGAGCCUGAAUCAGUGUGUGUGUUAGUGGAAGCGUCUGGAAAGGCGUGCGAUACAGGGUGACAGCCCCGUACACAAAAAUGCACAUAUUGUGAGCUUGAUGAGUAGGGCGGGACACGUGGUAUCCUGUCUGAAUAUGGGGGGACCAUCCUCCAAGGCUAAAUACUCCUGACUGACCGAUAGUGAACCAGUACCGUGAGGGAAAGGCGAAAAGAACCCCGGCGAGGGGAGUGAAAAAGAACCUGAAACCGUGUACGUACAAGCAGUGGGAGCACGCUUAGGCGUGUGACUGCGUACCUUUUGUAUAAUGGGUCAGCGACUUAUAUUCUGUAGCAAGGUUAACCGAAUAGGGGAGCCGAAGGGAAACCGAGUCUUAACUGGGCGUUAAGUUGCAGGGUAUAGACCCGAAACCCGGUGAUCUAGCCAUGGGCAGGUUGAAGGUUGGGUAACACUAACUGGAGGACCGAACCGACUAAUGUUGAAAAAUUAGCGGAUGACUUGUGGCUGGGGGUGAAAGGCCAAUCAAACCGGGAGAUAGCUGGUUCUCCCCGAAAGCUAUUUAGGUAGCGCCUCGUGAAUUCAUCUCCGGGGGUAGAGCACUGUUUCGGCAAGGGGGUCAUCCCGACUUACCAACCCGAUGCAAACUGCGAAUACCGGAGAAUGUUAUCACGGGAGACACACGGCGGGUGCUAACGUCCGUCGUGAAGAGGGAAACAACCCAGACCGCCAGCUAAGGUCCCAAAGUCAUGGUUAAGUGGGAAACGAUGUGGGAAGGCCCAGACAGCCAGGAUGUUGGCUUAGAAGCAGCCAUCAUUUAAAGAAAGCGUAAUAGCUCACUGGUCGAGUCGGCCUGCGCGGAAGAUGUAACGGGGCUAAACCAUGCACCGAAGCUGCGGCAGCGACGCUUAUGCGUUGUUGGGUAGGGGAGCGUUCUGUAAGCCUGCGAAGGUGUGCUGUGAGGCAUGCUGGAGGUAUCAGAAGUGCGAAUGCUGACAUAAGUAACGAUAAAGCGGGUGAAAAGCCCGCUCGCCGGAAGACCAAGGGUUCCUGUCCAACGUUAAUCGGGGCAGGGUGAGUCGACCCCUAAGGCGAGGCCGAAAGGCGUAGUCGAUGGGAAACAGGUUAAUAUUCCUGUACUUGGUAUUACUGCGAAGGGGGGACGGAGAAGGCUAUGUUGGCCGGGCGACGGUUGUCCCGGUUUAAGCGUGUAGGCUGGUUUUCCAGGCAAAUCCGGAAAAUCAAGGCUGAGGCGUGAUGACGAGGCACUACGGUGCUGAAGCAACAAAUGCCCUGCUUCCAGGAAAAGCCUCUAAGCAUCAGGUAACAUCAAAUCGUACCCCAAACCGACACAGGUGGUCAGGUAGAGAAUACCAAGGCGCUUGAGAGAACUCGGGUGAAGGAACUAGGCAAAAUGGUGCCGUAACUUCGGGAGAAGGCACGCUGAUAUGUAGGUGAAGUCCCUUGCGGAUGGAGCUGAAAUCAGUCGAAGAUACCAGCUGGCUGCAACUGUUUAUUAAAAACACAGCACUGUGCAAACACGAAAGUGGACGUAUACGGUGUGACGCCUGCCCGGUGCCGGAAGGUUAAUUGAUGGGGUCAGCGCAAGCGAAGCUCUUGAUCGAAGCCCCGGUAAACGGCGGCCGUAACUAUAACGGUCCUAAGGUAGCGAAAUUCCUUGUCGGGUAAGUUCCGACCUGCACGAAUGGCGUAAUGAUGGCCAGGCUGUCUCCACCCGAGACUCAGUGAAAUUGAACUCGCUGUGAAGAUGCAGUGUACCCGCGGCAAGACGGAAAGACCCCGUGAACCUUUACUAUAGCUUGACACUGAACAUUGAGCCUUGAUGUGUAGGAUAGGUGGGAGGCUUUGAAGUGUGGACGCCAGUCUGCAUGGAGCCGGCCUUGAAAUACCACCCUUUAAUGUUUGAUGUUCUAACGUGGACCCGUGAUCCGGGUUGCGGACAGUGUCUGGUGGGUAGUUUGACUGGGGCGGUCUCCUCCUAAAGAGUAACGGAGGAGCACGAAGGUUGGCUAAUCCUGGUCGGACAUCAGGAGGUUAGUGCAAUGGCAUAAGCCAGCUUGACUGCGAGCGUGACGGCGCGAGCAGGUGCGAAAGCAGGUCAUAGUGAUCCGGUGGUUCUGAAUGGAAGGGCCAUCGCUCAACGGAUAAAAGGUACUCCGGGGAUAACAGGCUGAUACCGCCCAAGAGUUCAUAUCGACGGCGGUGUUUGGCACCUCGAUGUCGGCUCAUCACAUCCUGGGGCUGAAGUAGGUCCCAAGGGUAUGGCUGUUCGCCAUUUAAAGUGGUACGCGAGCUGGGUUUAGAACGUCGUGAGACAGUUCGGUCCCUAUCUGCCGUGGGCGCUGGAGAACUGAGGGGGGCUGCUCCUAGUACGAGAGGACCGGAGUGGACGCAUCACUGGUGUUCGGGUUGUCAUGCCAAUGGCACUGCCCGGUAGCUAAAUGCGGAAGAGAUAAGUGCUGAAAGCAUCUAAGCACGAAACUUGCCCCGAGAUGAGUUCUCCCUGACCCUUUAAGGGUCCUGAAGGAACGUUGAAGACGACGACGUUGAUAGGCCGGGUGUGUAAGCGCAGCGAUGCGUUGAGCUAACCGGUACUAAUGAACCGUGAGGCUUAACCUU
RNAcentral lists this ribosomal RNA (2902 nucleotides) under Shigella sonnei. RNAcentral describes it as "bacterial LSU rRNA". It matches the Rfam family "Bacterial large subunit ribosomal RNA". The record is from RNAcentral. Lineage: Bacteria; Pseudomonadati; Pseudomonadota; Gammaproteobacteria; Enterobacterales; Enterobacteriaceae. RNAcentral also lists the same sequence under 4 other names.